CAGUCGCCGCGGUAAUACGAAGGGGGCUAGCGUUGUUCGGAUUUACUGGGCGUAAAGCGCACGUAGGCGGGCUUUUAAGUCAGGGGUGAAAUCCCGGGGCUCAACCCCGGAACUGCCUUUGAUACUGGAAGUCUUGAGUAUGGAAGAGGUGAGUGGAAUUCCGAGUGUAGAGGUGAAAUUCGUAGAUAUUCGGAGGAACACCAGUGGCGAAGGCGGCUCACUGGUCCAUUACUGACGCUGAGGUGCGAAAGCGUGGGGAGCAAACAGGAUUAGAUACCCCCGUAGUCCCUGUCUCUUAUAC
RNAcentral lists this ribosomal RNA (301 nucleotides) under uncultured bacterium. RNAcentral's name for it is "partial 16S ribosomal RNA". It matches the Rfam family "Bacterial small subunit ribosomal RNA", at positions 509 to 807 of the family's 1533-position model. The record is from RNAcentral.